This 541-nucleotide ribosomal RNA is filed under the name uncultured bacterium. Its description in RNAcentral is "bacterial SSU rRNA". It matches the Rfam family "Bacterial small subunit ribosomal RNA", at positions 119 to 674 of the family's 1533-position model. The record is from RNAcentral.
GAGCAAUCUGCCCCUGACUCUGGGAUAACAGUUGGAAACAGCUGCUAAUACCGGAUACGAGACGUGACCGCAUGGUCGACGUUUGGAAAGAAUUUCGGUCAGGGAUGAGCUCGCGGCCUAUCAGCUUGUUGGUGAGGUAAUGGCUCACCAAGGCGUCGACGGGUAGCCGGCCUGAGAGGGUGACCGGCCACACUGGGACUGAGACACGGCCCAGACUCCUACGGGAGGCAGCAGUGGGGAAUAUUGCACCAUGGGCGAAAGCCUGAUGCAGCAACGCCGCGUGAGGGACGACGGCCUUCGGGUUGUAAACCUCUUUUAGCAGGGAAGAAGCGAAAGUGACGGUACCUGCAGAAAAAGCGCCGGCUAACUACGUGCCAGCAGCCGCGGUAAUACGUAGGGCGCAAGCGUUAUCCGGAAUUAUUGGGCGUAAAGAGCUCGUAGGCGGUUUGUCGCGUCUGCUGUGAAAACUGGAGGCUCAACCUCCAGCCUGCAGUGGGUACGGGCAGACUAGAGUGCGGUAGGGGAGAUUGGAAUUCCUGGU